AUUGAACGCUGGCGGCAGGCCUAACACAUGCAAGUCGAGCGAGCGGCGGACGGGUGAGUAAUGUCUGGGAAACUGCCUGAUGGAGGGGGAUAACUACUGGAAACGGUAGCUAAUACCGCAUACCAUCAGAUGUGCCCAGGUGGGAUUAGCUAGUAGGUGGGGGAACGGCUCACCUAGGCGACGAUCCCUAGCUGGUCUGAGAGGAUGACACGCCACCCUGGAACUGAACCACGGUCCAGACUCGUCCGGGAGGCAGCGGUGGGGAAUAUUGCACAAUGGGCGCAAGCCUGAUGCAGCCAUGCCGCGUGUGUGAAGAGGGCCUUCGGGUUUUAAAGCACUUUCAGCUGGGAGGCGUUACCCGCAGAAGAAGCACCGGCUAACUCCGUGCCAGCAGCCGCGGUAAUUC
This 406-nucleotide ribosomal RNA is filed under the name uncultured bacterium. RNAcentral's name for it is "partial 16S ribosomal RNA". It matches the Rfam family "Bacterial small subunit ribosomal RNA", at positions 30 to 526 of the family's 1533-position model. The record is from RNAcentral.